Molecule: long non-coding RNA, 1032 nt
Filed under: Salmo trutta (river trout)
Lineage: Eukaryota; Metazoa; Chordata; Actinopteri; Salmoniformes; Salmonidae
Description: lncRNA (ENSSTUG00000043551.1)
Source: RNAcentral
AUUAAUUGACAAUGAAUUGUCCAGAUGAAUUGAUCAAAAUAACCCUGCUAUUGAUGUUGUCCAGUGUUUGAUUCAAUUACCUAGGUCUAGGUUGUAUUUCUAUGUAUCAUUCUCUGCAAAUCCUUUGAAAGUAUGUCUUGGUCAUAGAUUAUCACUAAUUUCACCUUUUAAAAUGAAGCAAGAGAUAGAGAGAUUGAGGCUAUGGCAGAAAGUCAUGGAGGAUCAGCGACCAAGACUGGCCUGGAACAACAAACCUAUUGAGACAGAAAGAGAGAGGGAAAGAGAGAGGGAAAGAGAGAGAGAAAGGGAGAUGGAAAGGGAGAGAAAACCAGAAUUGGAAAGACAAGAAAUGAAGAAGAAAGUGAAACAGGCAGAAGAAAUGAUAAAAGCGUUAGAACGAGAGAUUGAUAGAUUGAAAGAGAUUGAAAAGAAGAUAAUAUUUGAAAGAGAAAGAGACAUGCGUAUUGCAGAGAACGAGAAAGUCAAACUGGUUAACGAAAAGGCAAAAGAGUUAGAGAGAGAGAGGGAGAAGAGGAACCUCAAAAAGAUCAAGAGAACGUAUCAGAGAGAGGCUGAGGAGGGCUAUAAGAUCAUCCAUAUAGGUAAGACCUGUUUUCCCUCUGCUUAUGACCUCACUCCUCUUUAGUCUCCUCUACACACAUAAGUUCCACACCAGUCAUCAUGUUGCAUCAUUGUUUCAAUAUAAAACUACUGUCCAAAAUGGUCAAGCUGAUCUGGUAUCAACUUAAAUGUAAUGUACACAGGGAAUUUAGAAUGGAAAACUCAACUGGAUCUCAAUUACCCUGGUCUAAAGUAGGGCAUCAUAGCCUUUUGGGGCCCUAAGAAACAUUUUCUUCAGGUUUUUGACUACAAUUCCUCCAAAUCUACACUUUGCAAUGGGGCGUAGGGAACAUGUUGCAGUUUUUUAAACAAGUUUGCUGCAAUUCUACACAUUUUCCCAUGGGGUGGAGAGAAGAAUUAGUAGUUUUAAAGCUAAUUUCUUUGAAUUCUACACAUUUUCCCAUGGGGUGG